RNAcentral lists this ribosomal RNA (276 nucleotides) under uncultured bacterium. RNAcentral describes it as "partial 16S ribosomal RNA". It matches the Rfam family "Bacterial small subunit ribosomal RNA", at positions 356 to 624 of the family's 1533-position model. The record is from RNAcentral.
AGGGAAUCUUCCACAAUGGACGAAAGUCUGAUGGAGCAACGCCGCGUGAGUGAUGAAGGGUUUCGGCUCGUAAAACUCUGUUGUUGGAGAAGAACAGGUGUGAGAGUAACUGUUCACAUCUUGACGGUAUCCAACCAGAAAGCCACGGCUAACUACGUGCCAGCAGCCGCGGUAAUACGUAGGUGGCAAGCGUUGUCCGGAUUUAUUGGGCGUAAAGCGAGCGCAGGCGGUUUCUUAGGUCUGAUGUGAAAGCCUUCGGCUUAACCGGAGAAGUGC